CGGUGAUAUCUUAAGUCGGCAUAGAUAGCUCUGUCACCGUAGAGUCGGUCGGUCUCGCAGUAUCUUCCGUUGGCAUCAACAGCACUGCGGCGAGAACGGUCAAUUACCUAUCCAAGUCUCGGUCGAGAAGGGUUUUCGAAUCCUUGUUGGUCGAGGUCAUCUCAUUAGCCUUCUUGGCGAGGUGAGGUGUCACAGUUAUUACAUUCGGCACAUUGCAAGCCGAAUUCGGUUCGUGAACUUUGUAAGAAAUAGCAGCCUUGUCUUCAGGCUCGAGAACCCAAGAGGCCGAGACGUGUUCCUUUCUCGGCCGCAAUCGCAAGACGCAGAAGUCAGUAGCGCGACCCAACGCAGCAUCAUCAAAUUUACUCCUCGGCCGAGCCCCGGCCGACGAGUUGGCA
RNAcentral lists this long non-coding RNA (398 nucleotides) under Malus domestica (apple). Its description in RNAcentral is "long non-coding RNA (MDOM_LNC013037)". The record is from RNAcentral. Lineage: Eukaryota; Viridiplantae; Streptophyta; Magnoliopsida; Rosales; Rosaceae.